AUACGUAGGUAGCAAGCGUUGUCCGGAAUUAUUGGGCGUAAAGCGCGCGCAGGCGGUCCUUUAAGUCUGAUGUGAAAGCCCACGGCUCAACCGUGGAGGGUCAUUGGAAACUGGGGGACUUGAGUGCAGAAGAGGAAAGUGGAAUUCCAAGUGUAGCGGUGAAAUGCGUAGAGAUUUGGAGGAACACCAGUGGCGAAGGCGACUUUCUUGUCUGAAACUGACGCUGAGGCGCGAAAGCGUGGGGAGCAAACAGGAUUAGAUACCCUGGUAGUCCACGCCGUAAACGAUGAGUGCUAAGUGUUAGGGGGUUUCCGCCCCUUAGUGCUGCAGCUAACGCAUUAAGCACUCCGCCUGGGGAGUACGGUCGCAAGACUGAAACUCAAAUGAAUUGACGGGG
RNAcentral lists this ribosomal RNA (397 nucleotides) under uncultured bacterium. Its description in RNAcentral is "partial 16S ribosomal RNA". It matches the Rfam family "Bacterial small subunit ribosomal RNA", at positions 523 to 918 of the family's 1533-position model. The record is from RNAcentral.